AUGAUUUUGACGAUGUUUUGAAUUUAGUUUUCUCAUAUUUUGCCAAACAGUGGAAAUUGGUGUUAAUCUAUUAAAUUUGGAACAAAAUUCCUGCCACCCCUGUUGUCUUACUUGCUUAAUUACUAACUUUUUAACAGCUUGAACUCUUUUAAAAUUUAUGUAAUUAUCGAGAGUUGGAUUUUGUUUAAACCUAAGGUAAGCCGCUUUACUAUCAUUGACAGCUGUCGCACACCUGUUAUUCCACCAAGGUACUGCAAUAUGUUUGUGCCUCUUUGAAGUAUUUGCACCGCUAUUUGAUAAGUUCCUACGUGGAACGGAACGUUCCACAGCUGUCAAAAUAAUUUUACAGAACCUAUUGUAAUUGUUUAAGGGUUCAUUGACAUCAUACUCGAAAUCCAAAAGUAAUCGAUUAACAGUUUCAGAAUAAAGAUCCCAAUUAACGAGACAUGCUGCAACGCUCAGAAUUCUUACAGAAUUUAGCUAAAUGUCCAUACCUCAAGCACCGGUAGCAUUGUUUAACUGGUGGUAUAUAUGGAGAGACAUUGUGGCGCCAACCUCCAAUAUCCAGAUAUUCAGGUAAUACAGAUGCAGCAAAAGUAAUUGUCACGGUUAGAGUUGGCUGUAACACAUAUCCAUGAGUCAAGAUUCUGAGUCAGUAGAAGUAUCUUCCGAAUAUAUAUCCUUGUCAUUACAAGGUUCAUGGUCUACAUCACCUGAAUCGUCAUCUUUUUUUUUUCCUUUUUCUACAACUGCGCUUCCCCAUGAAUGCUAAUUAUAUUACUGUCGCUGAAUUUAGUGAAAAUAUAAUAUUUUAUUCAAUAAUAAGAAUUGAUAGAGAUAGUUUUAAUAAAUUAAUAAAAAAAAUUUAAAAAACCCGCUUGUUCUUAUUCGAGUUUCCCGCCUUUUUUUUCGUCAUUGAUAUCGUUAUAAUUAAAAACUCACAGCUGACACUGACUGACUGACGUUGAC
Long non-coding RNA from Galleria mellonella (greater wax moth), 969 nucleotides. RefSeq lists it as uncharacterized. The transcript has 3 exons. Lineage: Eukaryota; Metazoa; Arthropoda; Insecta; Lepidoptera; Pyralidae. The record is from RefSeq and is a predicted model, not a curated record.